RNAcentral lists this ribosomal RNA (274 nucleotides) under uncultured bacterium. Its description in RNAcentral is "partial 16S ribosomal RNA". It matches the Rfam family "Bacterial small subunit ribosomal RNA", at positions 523 to 796 of the family's 1533-position model. The record is from RNAcentral.
AUACGGAGGAGGCAAGCGUUGUUCGGAAUUAUUGGGCUUAAAGCGCGUGUAGGCGGACCGGUCAGUGUCUUGUGAAAGCCCCCGGCUCAACCGGGGAAUUGCUGGGCAUACUGCCGGCCUUGAGGCAGGUAGGGGCGGGUGGAACUCUAGGUGGAGCGGUGAAAUGCGUAGAUAUCUAGAGGAACGCCGGUGGCGAAAGCGACCCGCUGGGCCUGUUCUGACGCUGAGACGCGAAAGCGUAGGGAGCAAACGGGAUUAGAAACCCCAGUAGUCC